GAUGAACGCUGGCGGCGUGCCUAAUACAUGCAAGUCGAGCGAACAGACGAGGAGCUUGCUCCUCUGACGUUAGCGGCGGACGGGUGAGUAACACGUGGAUAACCUACCUAUAAUACGGGGAUAACUUCGGGAAACCGGAGCUAAUACCGGAUAAUAUAUUGAACCGCAGGGUUCAAUAGUGAAAGACGGUUUUGCUGUCACUUAUAGAUGGAUCCGCGCCGCAUUAGCUAGUUGGUAAGGUAACGGCUUACCAAGGCAACGAUGCGUAGCCGACCUGAGAGGGUGAUCGGCCACACUGGAACUGAGACACGGUCCAGACUCCUACGGGAGGCAGCAGUAGGGAAUCUUCCGCAAUGGGCGAAAGCCUGACGGAGCAACGCCGCGUGAGUGAUGAAGGUCUUCGGAUCGUAAAACUCUGUUAUUAGGGAAGAACAAAUGUGUAAGUAACUAUGCACGUCUUGACGGUACCUAAUCAGAAAGCAACGGCUAACUACGUG
This 497-nucleotide ribosomal RNA is filed under the name uncultured bacterium. RNAcentral describes it as "partial 16S ribosomal RNA". It matches the Rfam family "Bacterial small subunit ribosomal RNA", at positions 28 to 507 of the family's 1533-position model. The record is from RNAcentral.